Molecule: ribosomal RNA, 103 nt
Filed under: Cyrtosia septentrionalis
Lineage: Eukaryota; Viridiplantae; Streptophyta; Magnoliopsida; Asparagales; Orchidaceae
Description: 4.5S ribosomal RNA
Source: RNAcentral
UAAGGUCCCGGCGAGACGAGCCGUUUAUCAUUGCGAUAGGUGUCAAGUGGAAGUACAGUGAUGUAUGCAGCUGAGGCAUCCUAACAGACCGAGAUAUUUGAAC